UACGUAGGGGGCAAGCGUUGUCCGGAUUUAUUGGGCGUAAAGAGCGUGUAGGCGGUUCGGUAGGUCCGUUGUGAAAACUCGAGGCUCAACCUCGAGACGCCGAUGGAAACCCUCGAACUAGAGUCCGGAAGAGGAGAGUGGAAUUCCCGGUGUAGCGGUGAAAUGCGCAGAUAUCGGGAAGAACACCCGUGGCUAAGGCGGCUCUCUAGUACGGUACUGACGCUGAGACGCGAAAGCGUGGGGAGCGAACAGG
RNAcentral lists this ribosomal RNA (253 nucleotides) under uncultured bacterium. Its description in RNAcentral is "partial 16S ribosomal RNA". It matches the Rfam family "Bacterial small subunit ribosomal RNA", at positions 524 to 776 of the family's 1533-position model. The record is from RNAcentral.